GCUGUGUGUGUGCUGUGUGUGUCAGGGGUGCAGUGUGUGUGUGUGUGAGGGUGCUGUGAGUGUUAGAGGUGCAUUUUGUUUGUGCUGUGUCAGACGUGCAGUGUGUGUGUGAGGGUGCUGUGCGUGUCAGGGGUGCAGUGUGUGUGUGUGUGAGGUUGCUGUGAGUGUCAGGGGAGCAGAAGAUAUAUAACAAAUUACAGCAGCAUACCAGAUAGCCUCUGAAUGCCGUAAGGUGCCAAUAUCUUAUGUGCUCGCAGAAGCCACUUGUAACGUCCUAAGGACAAUUUCAAUAUAGG
Molecule: non-coding RNA, 296 nt
Organism: Pelobates cultripes (western spadefoot toad)
Lineage: Eukaryota; Metazoa; Chordata; Amphibia; Anura; Pelobatidae
Source: the annotation of a GenBank genome assembly